Molecule: ribosomal RNA, 234 nt
Filed under: uncultured bacterium
Lineage: Bacteria
Description: partial 16S ribosomal RNA
Rfam family: Bacterial small subunit ribosomal RNA
Source: RNAcentral
UCGGAACGUGUCCUGUUNUGGGGGAUAACUGAUCGAAAGAUCAGCUAGUACCGCAUGAGACCUGAGGGUGAAAGCGGGGGAUCGCAAGACCUCGCGCGACAGGAGCGGCCGAUGUCUGAUUAGCUAGUUGGUGAGAUAAAAGCUUACCAAGGCGACGAUCAGUAGCUGGUCUGAGAGGAUGAUCAGCCACAUUGGGACUGAGACACGGCCCAGACUCCUACGGGAGGCAGCAUG